This is a long non-coding RNA of Pseudopipra pipra, 1000 nucleotides long. RefSeq lists it as uncharacterized. Lineage: Eukaryota; Metazoa; Chordata; Aves; Passeriformes; Pipridae. The record is from RefSeq and is a predicted model, not a curated record. The transcript is spliced from 3 exons.
CUUUCGGUCUGUUUGGUGGGCAAGAUGGCUGUGCCCAGUGCGAGACACAUGGUUGCUGUUCAUCUGCAGCGUGGGGUGGCUCAAAGUGUUGUCCUCCUGAACCAGUUUCUCCAAACCCUGUAAAAGUGCUGGGGUACAGCAAAAAAAUGAAGGACAAGAUAGAAGUCAUGGUGUUUUAGAUGACAUAGGCAGCUCCUGGAGAAUCCUAUGGAAACAGCAAACAUGAACAACACAGACAGACAAGCACAGUUAGCUCAUGCAUCCUAGUCUAGGAGUGUUUGUGAAAAUUUGGAUAUGUGCUUUCCAUAAUGCUGCCUGGAUUGAAGCAGGAACUGGAUUCACUGUAUGUGCUUCCCUAUGACAGAAAACAUUCUGCUUCUAUUUGAGUCUCUCAACAAGACAUACCUGAAAAGACUACUUCUGAGUCUGAGAAUAUUCCUGCUUCUGACAGUGUUCUGUUAGCAUAGUGUAAUCCAAGGAAGCCAUUUUUAAAAGAGAAUGUUGCCUCAUGUUUAGAGAUACUACUUUGAGUGCCAGGAUUUACAUGAAACAAAUUGGGUCAUUUCUAUAUAUGUCCCUAAUUACACUGUAUCUCUCAAAUAUUUCUCAGAUAAAGAAAUAUGACCUAAAAAACCUGAACAUGCAUAGUCAAAAAAACCCCAAACAACCCCCCAAAAAAGGUGUUGGAAAAAGAGAUCUUUUCAGUCACAACCCUGCCCAAAACCACUGAAGUUAAUGGGGUUGAAAAGAGUGUAAGUUAACUCGGUCUUGGCCUUGUACUUUUUCAGUCCCUUAUGACUUAUAGAAAGAAAUUAUUUGAUUUUUUUAAAAAACAAACUCUGACAGCUUGAGGUGGAAGCUAAUGCCUCUUUUUCUGCCAAAAUUCAUAUAAUUUGGGACGGAAAAAGUAUACUUCAUAGGCUAUGAUGAAACUAAGUGCUCACUGGAUGUCAUACUGAAUGGAAUUGUAUUCUCCAGAUUGCUGUACAGUUAGCAUAAU